CCUUCUAAGUGAGAAGUCUGACGGAGCACGCCGCGUGAGUGAUGAAGGUUUUCGGAUCGUAAAGCUCUGUUGUUAGGGAAGAACAAGUGCCGUUCAAAUAGGGCGGCACCUUGACGGUACCUAACCAGAAAGCCACGGCUAACUACGUGCCAGCAGCCGCGGUAAUACGUAGGUGGCAAGCGUUGUCCGGAAUUAUUGGGCGUAAAGGGCUCGCAGGCGGUUUCUUAAGUCUGAUGUGAAAGCCCCCGGCUCAACCGGGGAGGGUCAUUGGAAACUGGGGAACUUGAGUGCAGAAGAGGAGAGUGGAAUUCCACGUGUAGCGGUGAAAUGCGUAGAGAUGUGGAGGAACACCAGUGGCGAAGGCGACUCUCUGGUCUGUAACUGACGCUGAGGAGCGAAAGCGUGGGGAGCGAACAGGAUUAGAUACCCUGGUAGUCCACGCCGUAAACGAUGAGUGCUAAGUGUUAGGGGGUUUCCGCCCCUUAGUGCUGCAGCUAACGCAUUAAGCACUCCGCCUUGGG
RNAcentral lists this ribosomal RNA (521 nucleotides) under Bacillus amyloliquefaciens. Its description in RNAcentral is "bacterial SSU rRNA". It matches the Rfam family "Bacterial small subunit ribosomal RNA", at positions 365 to 878 of the family's 1533-position model. The record is from RNAcentral. Lineage: Bacteria; Bacillati; Bacillota; Bacilli; Caryophanales; Bacillaceae.